GAUGAACGCUAGCGGGAGGCCUAACACAUGCCAGCCGAGCGGUAUUUGUUCUUCGGAACAGAGAGAGCGGCGCACGGGUGCGGAACACGUGUGCAACCUGCCUUUAUCUGGGGGAUAGCCUUUCGAAAGGAAGAUUAAUACCCCAUAAUAUAUUGAGUGGUAUCAUUUGAUAUUGAAAACUCCGGUGGAUAGAGAUGGGCACGCGCAAGAUUAGAUAGUUGGUGAGGUAACGGCUCACCAAGUCAAUGAUCUUUAGGGGGCCUGAGAGGGUGAUCCCCCACACUGGUACUGAGACACGGACCAGACUCCUACGGGAGGCAGCAGUGAGGAAUAUUGGACAAUGGGUUAGCGCCUGAUCCAGCCAUCCCGCGUGAAGGACGACGGCCCUAUGGGUUGUAAACUUCUUUUGUAUAGGGAUAAACCUACUCUCGUGAGAGUAGCUGAAGGUACUAUACGAAUAAGCACCGGCUAACUCC
This 476-nucleotide ribosomal RNA is filed under the name uncultured bacterium. RNAcentral describes it as "partial 16S ribosomal RNA". It matches the Rfam family "Bacterial small subunit ribosomal RNA", at positions 28 to 504 of the family's 1533-position model. The record is from RNAcentral.